Molecule: ribosomal RNA, 292 nt
Filed under: uncultured bacterium
Lineage: Bacteria
Description: partial 16S ribosomal RNA
Rfam family: Bacterial small subunit ribosomal RNA
Source: RNAcentral
GGAUUAGAUACCCUGGUAGUCCACGCCGUAAACGAUGAGAACUAGACGUUGGGAGGUUUACCCUCUUAGUGUCGCAGCUAACGCGAUAAGUUCUCCGCCUGGGGAGUACGGCCGCAAGGUUAAAACUCAAAGGAAUUGACGGGGGCCCGCACAAGCGGUGGAGCAUGUGGUUUAAUUCGAUGCAACGCGAAGAACCUUACCUACCCUUGACAUCCCUAGAAUCCUCCGUAAUGGGAGGAGUGCCUUCGGGCCUGGGUGACAGGUGCUGCAUGGCUGUCGUCAGCUCGUGCCG